UGAGUUGGCCGGGUGACCGCGACACACGAAAGCGUGUCGAGGAAAGUCGGGACUCCUCAGGGCAAAGUGCUGGCGCGAGCCAGGUGGGGGCGACCUCACGGAAAGUGCAACAGAAAACAAACCGCCGUCGGGGGCAACUUCGGCGGUAAGGGUGAAACGGUGCGGUAAGAGCGCACCAGCGUCCGGGGCAACCCGUACGGCUUGGCAAACCCCACUUGGAGCAAGGUCACGCAGAGGACAUGGGCGGCCCGUCCGCCUUCGGGCAGUCCUCGGGUAGACCGCAUAGAUGGAUGGUCACCGAACCGCAAGGUUCACAGAAUCCCGCUUAUAGGCCAACUCACCAU
Molecule: RNase P RNA, 344 nt
Filed under: Actinomycetota bacterium
Lineage: Bacteria; Bacillati; Actinomycetota
Description: Actinobacteria bacterium RNase P RNA component class A
Rfam family: Bacterial RNase P class A
About the family: Ribonuclease P (RNase P) is a ubiquitous endoribonuclease, found in archaea, bacteria and eukarya as well as chloroplasts and mitochondria. Its best characterised activity is the generation of mature 5'-ends of tRNAs by cleaving the 5'-leader elements of precursor-tRNAs.
Source: RNAcentral